UGGGGAAUAUUGGACAAUGGGCGCAAGCCUGAUCCAGCCAUGCCGCGUGGAUGAUGAAGGCCCUAGGGUUGUAAAGUCCUUUCGGCGGGGAAGAUAAUGACGGUACCCGCAGAAGAAGCCCCGGCUAACUUCGUGCCAGCAGCCGCGGUAAUACGAAGGGGGCUAGCGUUGCUCGGAAUCACUGGGCGUAAAGCGCACGUAGGCGGAUUCUUAAGUCGGUGGUGAAAUCCUGGAGCUCAACUCCAGAACUGCCUCCGAUACUGAGAGUCUUCGAGUCCGGGAGAGGUGAGUGGAACUGCGAGUGUAGAGGUGAAAUUCGUAGAUAUUCGCAAGAACACCAGUGGCGAAGGCGGCUCACUGGCCCGGUACUGACGCUGAGGUGCGAAAGCGUGGGGAGCAAACAGGAUUAGAUACCCACGUAGUCCCUGAGCGGGCUGGCAAGGCGCAU
RNAcentral lists this ribosomal RNA (448 nucleotides) under uncultured bacterium. Its description in RNAcentral is "bacterial SSU rRNA". It matches the Rfam family "Bacterial small subunit ribosomal RNA", at positions 355 to 825 of the family's 1533-position model. The record is from RNAcentral.